RNAcentral lists this ribosomal RNA (492 nucleotides) under uncultured bacterium. RNAcentral describes it as "partial 16S ribosomal RNA". It matches the Rfam family "Bacterial small subunit ribosomal RNA", at positions 29 to 507 of the family's 1533-position model. The record is from RNAcentral.
AUUGAACGCUGGCGGCAUGCUUUACACAUGCAAGUCGAACGGUAACAGGCCUUCGGGUGCUGACGAGUGGCUAACGGGUGAGUAAUGCAUCGGAACGUGCCCAGAGGUGGGGGAUAACGCAGCGAAAGCUGUGCUAAUACCGCAUGGGAUCUGAGGAUGAAAGCGGGGGACCAGGCAGCAAUGUUUGGCCUCGCGCCUUUGGAGCGGCCGAUGUCAGAUUAGGUAGUUGGUGGGGUAAAGGCCUACCAAGCCGACGAUCUGUAGCUGGUCUGAGAGGACGACCAGCGCCACUGGGACUGGGACACGCCCAAGGCUCCUACGGGAGGCAGCAGUGGGGAAUGUUGGACAGUGGGCGCAAGCCUGAUCCAGCAAGGGCGCGUGCGGGAAGAAGGCCUUCGGGUUGUAAACCGCUUUUGUACGGAACGAAAAGGCUCUGGCUAAUACCUGGGGCUGAUGACGGUACCGUAAGAAUAAGCACCGGCUAACUACGUG